UUAUUAUUUUAUUGGGCGCUCAUCCUGGCCCUCGCGUCCGCGGUCAUGAUGGCCACGGCCGAUGACUGCACUAUCGCCGGCGCAACGCCGCCCACGGCCGUCACCUACCGGGACUACGGCGCCUUCGUGUACCUGGUGUGGGCCAACGUGGCCGCGGCGGUGCUCGAGGCCGCGGCUGUCCACCUGCAGCUCAGCGGCGCCGGCGACGAUGAUGACGACGAGGGAAGCCGGCUCCCAGGAGUCGUGCUGGUCGUCGUCGACGUGCUGGCGCAGGCGCUGCUCUACUCGUCGACGGGCGCCGCGUACGGUUGUGGGAAGGUCGGCGUCGACGUCUGCGUGGCGUUCGGCGCGCAGGUGGGGCGGUCCAAGCUGCUGUCGUUCGGCGCCAGCGUCUCCCUCGGCCUCGCCGCCGUCGUCAAGGACGUGUCGCUGCCGUUCAAUGUCUGGCCCGGCUCGUCGGACUGA
This 465-nucleotide ribosomal RNA is filed under the name Triticum aestivum (bread wheat). Its description in RNAcentral is "partial small subunit ribosomal RNA". The record is from RNAcentral. Lineage: Eukaryota; Viridiplantae; Streptophyta; Magnoliopsida; Poales; Poaceae.